Long non-coding RNA from Rhopalosiphum padi (bird cherry-oat aphid), 2671 nucleotides. RefSeq lists it as uncharacterized. Lineage: Eukaryota; Metazoa; Arthropoda; Insecta; Hemiptera; Aphididae. The transcript is spliced from 6 exons. The record is from RefSeq and is a predicted model, not a curated record.
CGUUCAUUCGGAUUUCAAACACCGCAGUACGAUCGUCGAUUCAGCCUUAGCCAUGUCACGAUCUGGGAACGCGCGUUAAAAAACGAUUCAUUUGAGAACGCAUUUAAAAUGAUAACCAACUCCAUGGAAACCCACAUACCUACAAGAAAUUCAAAGGUAUAAUGAACAAGCAAUUAGUAGAAUAAAAAACGCCUAGAUGGACACAAAUAUUUUCAGUACCUACAAGGAAACAUAUUAUUUUCCAAUCCAACCGAAAAAAAAAUCAAAGAAAUGGCAACAAUGUUCAGCGUGCUUGAAAACACAGAAUCAUAGUAUACAUUAUAAAAUAUAUUAUAAAGAACAUGAAUAGUGUCAAAUUGUCAACGAAAAUAAAAAUCUUUUGCAUCCGUAAUGAUUUCAUUCACAUCCAAACGAGAAGAAACAAAAUCUGUGGCUCUAAAAUAUUGCACAUUUUAAUAGUUGAACCGCGCCCGAAGCACGGAGAUGAUGGCGAGACGAGAAUCUUGCGGCGGCGGCGGCGGCGUUUGAUUGCAGUACAAUAAUAUUAUAUAUAAUAUAUAUAUAUAUUAUAAUAUAGCGAUUUGCACAGGUCGACGACAGAAUCCUCUGCGACUAUAUAAUAACAAAUGACAAUAUUAUUUCUCCGACAAUUAUAGCCGCGCGCGGUUCACUGCAUCGGGCCGGAAUCAGUAAACCGGCAAUAUCAUUGUGUGCUGCCAUCUGCGUGAUGCGUCGCGAGCAGAACGAUCGAGGACAUCGCCAUCUCCCGCAAUCAGAACACUCGUUAAAAGCUGAUGCUGCUAAUAAACGUAGAACUUUAAAUUAUUCGUUACAGCUAUUAUUAUAUUAUUUAUUAUGACAAAACAUCGUUCCUCAGUAUUGUAUAAAAAUGAAUGACCACCUAUAAAAAAAAUAAUGACCAUCAUAUUUGACUCGACAGCUAGCGAGUGAAUUUGAUAAUAUUACUAAUUAUUUAUUGUGUUUAAUUAAAAUGGAUCCAUACAUAUUAUACUCGAGUUGUGUAUGAUAUUAAUUUAUAAGUCGAUAAAUUGAAAAUAUUAUUUAGUUACCAUAUGCCAUAACAAGAGAACACCACAACCCCACAUUUGUUGUAUCCGUACUAUAAAAAUUAAAUAUAACAAAUUUUAAAUUGAUAAUUUUAGUAUUUUAAACAAUUGCUCUAUUAUUAAACUUAAAGUUAAAAAUAUAAUUAUCUAGGGCAUAUUUUAAGUUUUUAUUAAUAUAUUAUUAAUCGUAUAAAAUAUUACAAUUUUAAAAUGAUCACAGUUCGCAUUAAAAUUAUAGCUCAACUCGCACAAUUAAUCAUCUUUCAAGCUAAUAAAAUAAAUAACAACACAAAAUUGUUUUUUAUGAACACAAAUUCAGUGUGUUGAUCGUUGUAAGACGAAUACAACACAUGUCAAAUAACGUGCUUUUAACAAAAUAUAUUAGUAGUAAUAAUAAAUAGAUAGCUAACUAUCAAUUAUCAUAAUGUUUUUUUAAAUAAUUUCAAUUUUAAGCAACAACUCAUUUAGCCUAUAUAUUAUGUUUAUUGUAUUUAAUACUAAAUAUACUGAAAUGGAAUAAUGAAACAUGUACGUAUAUGCAUCAAUAGUAAAAAAAUUAAACAAAAUAAUUAAAUAAUAAUUAAAACUCUUAUACCAUGUAAAAGAUUUAAACUUCCAAUUCAGUCAUCAAAUGUCACAAAAUUCCGUUAGAUUAUAUUGGGUUUAAUAAAAAAUUUUACAUCAUUAAUACACUAUAUUAUUUUCUAUGUAUAAAAUUGUAUUUUUGUCAUGGCUAUCUGUAUAAUACAAAUAGAACUAAUAACAGUAAUAACUGAUACUGAAUAUUGAUAUAAUAUCCUGUUUUAAACCAAUGUAAUACAGUAUUAUCUCUAUUUUGUUACCUUUAAUGUAAAGUAUGGAGUGUAAUAUAAUAUUUAAAUAAAACUAUUAUGUUUCAUUAAAAUGAAAAUUGUAAUGCCUAUAUAGUAUACAACACAAACCAAUAAUAUUGAGAAUAUUGACUUUUCUUAAUCGUUUAUUGUAAAUUAUUCCUGAUUAUUGGAUUACUUUGUAAUUUAUAUCUGUGUGUAAUGAGUAGGUUUUUAAAAUCUCUGUUUUAAUACAUAUUUUAUAAAAAGAAGACAAUUUAUAAGAACUAGAGGCUUACGAAAUAUUUAAAAAAAAAUCAAUAUAUUUUAGAAGUGUAAAAGAAAAUAUUCACAGAGACAUAGCAUUCGUUAUUAUUGACACAUUAAUACAAAUUUAAAUUGCAAAUAAAACUGAAUAAUGGCAUCUCAUUACAAUAAGACACGUGUAGUUGUUUCUCACAUAACAUCACAUUUUUUCAAUAAAUGUAAAAAUGUUAAAAAAAAUUAUCAGAGUUAUAUAAUAAUAAAAUUAUUUUAAUUUAAAUACUUAAAAAUUUAUAUAAAUUCACUGUGAAUAUUUCUUUUUUUAUUGUGAUCUGAUUGAACUUAAAAACUUUAAUUAUAUAAUAAAAUAACUUUUUUAAUCAAAUCUUAUAUUUAUGCACCUAUAGUUUAAAAAAUUGUAAUCAAAAUUAAAACAAUACAAAUAUUGUAUUUAUUUAUUUAAAUUACUUAAUAAGUACUUGUAUAUUAUUAUAAUGAAAAAACUAGUUAAUAUAUAUAAUAUGAUAUAUA